Molecule: non-coding RNA, 89 nt
Organism: Sordaria brevicollis
Lineage: Eukaryota; Fungi; Ascomycota; Sordariomycetes; Sordariales; Sordariaceae
Source: the annotation of a GenBank genome assembly
ACCUUACUGGUGUAUCAGCUAACAUGGCGGAUUCUCAAAUCUAAACGAUGAAGUUUCCGCAGCGCAGGGUUCGACUCCCUGGUAGGGUG